This 1571-nucleotide ribosomal RNA is filed under the name Salmonella enterica subsp. enterica serovar Muenchen. Its description in RNAcentral is "bacterial LSU rRNA". It matches the Rfam family "Bacterial large subunit ribosomal RNA", at positions 1388 to 2925 of the family's 2925-position model. Lineage: Bacteria; Pseudomonadati; Pseudomonadota; Gammaproteobacteria; Enterobacterales; Enterobacteriaceae. The record is from RNAcentral.
CCCCUAAGGCGAGGCCGAAAGGCGUAGUCGAUGGGAAACGGGUUAAUAUUCCCGUACUUGGUGUUACUGCGAAGGGGGGACGGAGAAGGCUAUGUUGGCCGGGCGACGGUUGUCCCGGUUUAAGCGUGUAGGUGUGUGUUCCAGGUAAAUCCGGUUCACUUUAACACUGAGGCGUGACGACGAGGCACUACGGUGCUGAAGCAACAAAUGCCCUGCUUCCAGGAAAAGCCUCUAAGCAUCAGGUAACAUCAAAUCGUACCCCAAACCGACACAGGUGGUCAGGUAGAGAAUACCAAGGCGCUUGAGAGAACUCGGGUGAAGGAACUAGGCAAAAUGGUGCCGUAACUUCGGGAGAAGGCACGCUGACACGUAGGUGAAGUGAUUUACUCAUGGAGCUGAAGUCAGUCGAAGAUACCAGCUGGCUGCAACUGUUUAUUAAAAACACAGCACUGUGCAAACACGAAAGUGGACGUAUACGGUGUGACGCCUGCCCGGUGCCGGAAGGUUAAUUGAUGGGGUCAGCGCAAGCGAAGCUCCUGAUCGAAGCCCCGGUAAACGGCGGCCGUAACUAUAACGGUCCUAAGGUAGCGAAAUUCCUUGUCGGGUAAGUUCCGACCUGCACGAAUGGCGUAAUGAUGGCCAGGCUGUCUCCACCCGAGACUCAGUGAAAUUGAACUCGCUGUGAAGAUGCAGUGUACCCGCGGCAAGACGGAAAGACCCCGUGAACCUUUACUAUAGCUUGACACUGAACAUUGAGCCUUGAUGUGUAGGAUAGGUGGGAGGCUUUGAAGCGUGGACGCCAGUCUGCGUGGAGCCGACCUUGAAAUACCACCCUUUAAUGUUUGAUGUUCUAACGUGGACCCGUUACCCGGGUUGCGGACAGUGUCUGGUGGGUAGUUUGACUGGGGCGGUCUCCUCCUAAAGAGUAACGGAGGAGCACGAAGGUUGGCUAAUCCUGGUCGGACAUCAGGAGGUUAGUGCAAUGGCAUAAGCCAGCUUGACUGCGAGCGUGACGGCGCGAGCAGGUGCGAAAGCAGGUCAUAGUGAUCCGGUGGUUCUGAAUGGAAGGGCCAUCGCUCAACGGAUAAAAGGUACUCCGGGGAUAACAGGCUGAUACCGCCCAAGAGUUCAUAUCGACGGCGGUGUUUGGCACCUCGAUGUCGGCUCAUCACAUCCUGGGGCUGAAGUAGGUCCCAAGGGUAUGGCUGUUCGCCAUUUAAAGUGGUACGCGAGCUGGGUUUAGAACGUCGUGAGACAGUUCGGUCCCUAUCUGCCGUGGGCGCUGGAGAACUGAGGGGGGCUGCUCCUAGUACGAGAGGACCGGAGUGGACGCAUCACUGGUGUUCGGGUUGUCAUGCCAAUGGCACUGCCCGGUAGCUAAAUGCGGAAGAGAUAAGUGCUGAAAGCAUCUAAGCACGAAACUUGCCCCGAGAUGAGUUCUCCCUGAGACUUUAGGUCUCCUGAAGGAACGUUGAAGACGACGACGUUGAUAGGCCGGGUGUGUAAGCGCAGCGAUGCGUUGAGCUAACCGGUACUAAUGAACCGUGAGGCUUAACCUUACAACGCCGAAG